This 292-nucleotide ribosomal RNA is filed under the name uncultured Bacteroidota bacterium. Its description in RNAcentral is "uncultured Bacteroidetes bacterium partial 16S ribosomal RNA". The record is from RNAcentral. Lineage: Bacteria; Pseudomonadati; Bacteroidota.
GGACUACAAGGGUAUCUAAUCCUGUUUGAUCCCCACGCUUUCGUGCCUCAGUGUCAAUAUAUGUGUAGCCAGCUGCCUUCGCAAUUGGUGUUCUAUGUCAUAUCUAAGCAUUUCACCGCUACAUGACAUAUUCCGCUGACCUCCACAAUAUUCAAGAUCUAUAGUAUCAAUGGCAGUUUCCAAGUUAAGCUCGGAGAUUUCACCACUGACUUACAGACCCACCUACGCACCCUUUAAACCCAGUGAAUCCGGAUAACGCUUGCACCCUCCGUAUUACCGCGGCUGCUGGCAC